Molecule: long non-coding RNA, 1411 nt
Filed under: Ananas comosus (pineapple)
Lineage: Eukaryota; Viridiplantae; Streptophyta; Magnoliopsida; Poales; Bromeliaceae
Description: long non-coding RNA (ACOM_LNC026211)
Source: RNAcentral
UUUCACGUAUCUAUUUAAAAAUUUCACGCUUUAGUUCACAUGCUUAAUAGAGUUUACCCUAAGGGCAUGUUUAGUUCACCUAUUUUAUACUAUGGAAUCGAAAUGAAAUUUAUUAAUUCCGAUAGUUGCCGUUUGUUUUAUAGAAAUCGGAUUCCGAUUCCCAUUCCACUCCGGAAUGGGAAUGGUCAAAUCCAUUAAUGAUCCAAUCCGGUUUUGAAUUCCGGAUUGGCUCAUUCCAAAAUAAACUAUUCAAAAUUCUCUUUCAUCAACACCUACCACCUCUCCCUUCAUCACUUUCCUCUCACUUAAUCAAAACCCUCUUUCAAAAAUUUUAAAUUUUCAUUCCGAUUUCCAGUCCAAUAAUGAACCAAACAUUUUUGGAUGAUUCGUCAUUCCAUUUUCCAUUCCAAAGCAAUCCAAUUCCAUUUCCUAUUCCUAUUCAAAUCAUGAACCAAACAUGCCCUAAAACUAAUUUUAUUUUGGGGAUUAGAUAUUCCAGUUGUAGUAGAUAUUGGCAUAAGCUUGGGCGGGUGAAAAAUUUCAUUUGGGGGCUAUUAAUAAGAGUUACUAUUUCCGACUUCUAAAAUGAAAGCCUCUGCGAUUUUGCCAAAAGCGGAAAGCCCAUUUAGGGAUGCAAACGGAUCCGGGUUGGUGGAGCUCCCGCCCCGAUCCGCCCCGACGGGGGCAGUAAAUGGGAGAAGAUAAACGGAUUCGGGACGGGAAACGGGGCAAAUUUUACAAUCCGAGACGGAUUCGGGACAGGAAACGGGAGAAAUUUUGACCCGCCCUGAAUCCGCCCCGCCAUGAUCCGCCCCGAAUCUGCCCCGAAAAUUAUUUAUAUUUUUAAAAAAUAUUUCUAAAAAAUAAUGUAUUUACAAAAAAGUUCAAAAUACAAAUAACUUAGUACUCUCAUUUCUAAUCUAUUUGAAGCUUUUCAAUUUUGUUUUGAAUUGUGAUUGAAAUUUUUUAUUUUUAUAAUUAAUAUUGUUAAAUAUUAUAUAUAUAUAAUAUUAUUAAAAAUUAUUAAUUUAUAUUUUACAAAAUAUUAAUAAUAUUAUAAUUUUAUAAAAAAUAUUAGUUGGCGGGCCGGAUUCGGGGCGCCGGCGGGAGGCGGGGCGGAAUUUUGCUAGUCGGGGCGGGAGGCGGGGCGGGGCUUCCGCCCCCAGAUCCACCCCGUUUGCAUUCCUAAACCCAUUACUCAGCGUAAUAAGGCGAAUCGGAGUUAGACCUGAUCCGGCCCGCACUUGGGUCGCCAUUUGUUAUUGAGCUCAACGUGCGGGCCCAUUUAGUUAACUACGCCUCCAGAGUAUUUCCCCUUCGAUCUAUGAGGAGGUGUGAAGGCCCAUAACCCAACAACAACUCAGCCCAAUAACCCAUUUUAGUUAACUACUUUUUUUUUUCUCGGUUGAAG